UACGAAGGGGGCUAGCGUUGCCCGGAAUCACUGGGCGUAAAGGGCGCGUAGGCGGCCAUUUAAGUCGGGGGUGAAAGCCUGUGGCUCAACCACAGAAUUGCCUUCGAUACUGGAUGGCUUGAGACCGGAAGAGGUAAGUGGAACUGCGAGUGUAGAGGUGAAAUUCGUAGAUAUUCGCAAGAACACCAGUGGCGAAGGCGGCUUACUGGUCCGGAUCUGACGCUGAGGCGCGAAAGCGUGGGGAGCAACAGGAU
This 254-nucleotide ribosomal RNA is filed under the name uncultured bacterium. RNAcentral describes it as "partial 16S ribosomal RNA". It matches the Rfam family "Bacterial small subunit ribosomal RNA", at positions 524 to 778 of the family's 1533-position model. The record is from RNAcentral.